GUGUCAGCCGCCGCGGUAAUACGUAGGGACCGAGCGUUGUCCGGAAUCAUUGGGCGUAAAGAGCGUGUAGGCGGCCAAUUAAGUCCUGCGUGAAAUCUCGGGGCUCAACCCCGAGCGGUCGUGGGAAACUGGUUGGCUAGAGUGCGGGAGAGGAGAGUGGAAUUCCUGGUGUAGCGGUGAAAUGCGCAGAUAUCAGGAAGAACACCCGUGGCGAAGGCGGCUCUCUGGAACGCAACUGACGCUGAGACGCGAAAGCGUGGGGAGCAAACAGGAUUAGAUACCCCCGUAGUCC
This 292-nucleotide ribosomal RNA is filed under the name uncultured bacterium. RNAcentral's name for it is "partial 16S ribosomal RNA". It matches the Rfam family "Bacterial small subunit ribosomal RNA", at positions 505 to 796 of the family's 1533-position model. The record is from RNAcentral.